This is a long non-coding RNA of Triticum aestivum (bread wheat), 2910 nucleotides long. RefSeq lists it as uncharacterized. Lineage: Eukaryota; Viridiplantae; Streptophyta; Magnoliopsida; Poales; Poaceae. The transcript is spliced from 3 exons. The record is from RefSeq and is a predicted model, not a curated record.
UGAUGUCGUACUACUCGAGAAACAUGGCAACAACAGCCAUGAUCCAUCUCUGUCGAUGUGGUUGACAGUUUGACACUCACAACAUGGUACUCCCUCCUUCUAGAUGUACAGGUUUAUCUCCUAGCUGUGUAUGGAUGAAAUUGGGGAUCACAUGUUCGAUGCAUGUUAUGUAUCUCUGUACCCAUGGUAUUAAGCAUCAUUGGAGGUCAAUAGCCUAACGUAUUAAUCAGCGCACAUAGAGACAUGGCAAUGUGUUGGAUACAACCUCUAAUCACCUUCAUACUCAAGGUCGAUACAACCUCUAAUCACCUUCAUACUGAAGAUUAUUUCCGAGGCGGCGACAAGAAACAAUAUGGGCCUGCUGAAUACUUGCCGGCCUGAGAAGUUGCACAAGUACGUAGCCGAUUGAAAGCUGCUGGCCAAUGCUUUAGCCAGCAACACACACAUGUACGCAACCAGCUAUCCAAGAAGGCAGGUGGAUUGAUUCCGGCUGGCUGCAAACAAGCAGGCAAAACGCAGGCACACAACGUCGAUCAAAAUCUUGCUGAAACACAUGCACGCCGCACGCACACGACGCCUGUCAUUGGCUUGAGUAUUUAUUAUUACUCCGAUCUGAGUUUUACAAGGGGAAUGGGAUUACAUGGGUAUAUACAACAGCGAGGGAUGCAAUGACGUCAUGCCGAUUUUAAGAUUAUCUAACAAUUCAAACAUUAUUCAUAAAUAUCUUUGAAAUCGUCACAUUGUUAUCAUUAUUAUUAGUGCAGGCUGGAUUGAUAGAUGGCAGGUAGUAUAGUUCAACUUUGGCUACAUAAGAACGAACCAAUUGGUACAUCAUAUAUGCCAUGCAUUUGGGUGAUGACUGCUACAGACUCCCGAUGUUCUCUUUGAGUACUGACUACAUGAUUCCUAUUACUUUUUAAGGUUAGUUCCUUGAAUUUUCAGUGUUCAUUCUUCUGAAGAUUAAUAUCCAAUUUUUCAUGGCUAUCGCCUUCUUUUGAUUACUUCAUCAUUAACCUUAAAUACAAAUUUUAUGUGCCAAUUAAUUAAGUGAUGUAUAUUAUCCAAUUGAAAGCCUCUUUGUCCACCAACUACAUUUUCAGAAAACCAGACAAAACAUCACUACAUUUAGAACCCCUGUAUCAUGAAUUUCCCCAUUUGUUUUCUUUCACUCCAUAGUUUACUUAUCAUUAAGAAAUAAUGCCAAUCAGUUCCAACAUAAGAGUAGAUGUGUUGUGACAGGUGAUGAUCUAAGAGUAUUUUAAUAUUCCUCAUUCAGUGUGCACUUUUCCAAUUUCUAAUUUACUAUGUGUGUUCUGCAGUCUAAGAUGGAGGAUAUAUGGUCUUUAAUGUCAGCUUUACAAAACAUAUAUAUUCAUUGUUUAGACAACUUUUCGCAAGUUCGUUGCACAUUUCUAUCAAUAUGCUAUAUCAUUACAUCACUCACUAUAUUUUUUGAUGGGCCUUAAUGUGCUUGAUAUUCUUACUUUCGAGAUGUGCUAUAGCACAUAGCAAGUGGGUCGUUUUUACUUCCAGACGUUAAUCCACACCAAAAGAUUAGUCUAGCCUUUAGGAUUCUAAAUUUAAUGGUUAUGAUCUAUUAGAGCGCCGUUCUUUGAUUUGUAAAGCAAAUCACCCACGUCCAUGCAUACAUUAAAAGGAAUUAGACCUGCACAUAGGCCCUGCAACCUCAAGCCUAUCCUGAUUGAAAGAUCUAGAUGAUAUUCAACUAUAUUGUAAUUUCAUUUUUGAUAGUGUUUAAGAAACAAGGAUUACCGUCAGUGACCAAUUGACCAGCACAAUGUCAAUAAUAAGAAUUACGACAUAGUUUGCUUAGGAUACUUAGUUCUCAAUUUUCUUUAUGUCAACAUAUUGGUAGCUGAUGCGAUAAAAGGUGCCAGACAGGACAUUGGCGCAUCAAUCAUCGUUACAGCAGGUGUGCACAUCACAGCGGAGCUACAAGUUCAUUUUUCCAUGUUUAACAUAGAUCAGAUCUUCCCAGUGCAAGUACUGAGACAGGUUGUGCUGAGGUUUGCCCAUGUCGUCAACUGCAUGUUCUAGGAGAAUUUUUUUGUUGUACCUGAUACAGUACACUUCGAUGAUGAUAUCUUAGUCAACCUUUUGUUGCAGUUUUUAAUGAACAGAUAGACUUUCAUGAAAGAUACAUUACCUUUCAUCAAAAAAUGGAAUUCCAUUUAGACUGGAAAUAUUUAGCUUACAUGAUACAAAUCGAACCCUUAAUGUGAUCAGAUAUAUGUUUUAAGUUAUGUCCGUUUGCUCUCCAGUCACUGGUAUUCAGUUUUUCCAUCAAGUGUUGAUGAAACAGGGAGGAAACCCUAAACAAUAAUGGACUCACUAGCAUGUACAUGAUGUGUCCCUUUCUUAAACUGGACUGAAUGCUUCUUAUUAUAUUUUGUUCUGAGGAGUUGAUGGUCUGAUGUCUUAUAUGUUUAAUUGCUCUAUACUGACAUAAUUCUAUCAUGCAAAGGAUUGUAUAUUUUUUCAUCAAGUAACCCUUAUAGCCUCUCCUCUAAUAUGCGUGUGUGUUGUUACCUCUUUUUUCCUGCAUUUUAUUUUCUACACCACAAUCAAAUGUGAAUAUGUACGUUCUGCCUAUCCAUUAAUUAUUAAACUAAUCAUUUUCUAAUAUCCGCACAAUAUAUUUAUUAUGAAUAAUUUCUUUGAGAAAAUGCCAUUUGUUUACUCGCAAUAAUCAUUUACUUCACACAACAAAAUUAGAAUAUAUAAAACUCAGUCUGUAGAAGCUAUAGCUAUGUUUUACCUCGGAAGUAGUUGCCUGCUGGUGCACAUUUUUUAAUACCUACUUUAGAAUGUUAUUUAUCAAAUUUACAAAGCAUGGUUACGUGUACCUUUACUCCAAGGUCAUUGUUUCUCUUUUCUAAAACAAAAAUU